RNAcentral lists this long non-coding RNA (384 nucleotides) under Mus musculus (house mouse). Its description in RNAcentral is "predicted gene 13632". The record is from RNAcentral. Lineage: Eukaryota; Metazoa; Chordata; Mammalia; Rodentia; Muridae.
CAUCGGGGUUAUGGGCACUAAGGAACAUCUCUGAAUAUCUCGAACCACUUGGCUGUUAGCUGUUCCUCUUUUGAAUAAAAUCUGUGAGAGCUGGUGCAUGACACUUCAGUUCUAUUUUCUGUUCUCUUCAUGACCUGGAAGCUAUGCAGAUUCAGCUCGUAAAGCUGUACUCACUGGUACUCUCGUUCCCCAGCUGAAAAGUUCUGAAUUCAUACAGUUGAAUCCUUCUUAACAGUCUGCUUUACGGGAACCUUUAUUACCGCGACCCGCAGUUCUGGUUCUGGAAUGAGGGAUCUUCCUUGCGCCAGUCCCGAGUUUUUUCUCGUAUUUUUUCGUCCCGGAUUUUUUCUCGUCCCGUCCCGGGUUUCGGCACCAAUUGUUAUU